UCAAGGCUAUUCAAGCCUCAGUGGUGCUAUCAGGGACUCUGGUUCUUUCUCACAUUUCUGCUCUGCCCCCCUUAACAUCUCAACUUUCUUCCUUGUGAUUUCACUUCAAGGUCACAAGACAGCUGCUGCACCUCUGGGCAUUAUAUCUGUGUCCCAAACAAGGAGAAGGGAGAGUUCAAAGGAUCAAAGUAAUUUCUUAUGUGGCUCUGCAUUUUAUUGGACCCGAAGGCCUCCUCAGAGGGUUCAACCUGGAGUCUUGGACUUGGGUCCCACAGUCCCUAGCACCUAGCAGGGGCACUGAAUAGUGAUGGAAUCCCUCGCCCUUACAAGUUCAGCCCAAUACCAAAGUCUCGAAAGCUCUGCAGAAAGAAGAGAAACUGAAUACUGCCCCUUGCCUUCAGUAGGUCAUACCCAGCGUCACCAUGAGCCACAACAGUCCUCCUGAGGCCAACACUUUUUGCUCCUUUCCCAUGCACCAAAAAAGUCCCAUUGUCUUCAUCACACAAGUGACAGCCUGGCCUGGGGAUUUAUGAGCAUGAUGUCUCUGUGGCUGGGCUGUGAGCACCUGCACCCUGGGUUCCGGAGAGCCUCGUGCAAGGGCUGAUCUCAUCUUAAACAGCAAAAUAUGUCUUGGAAUCACCUCUUCAGAGCAGGUAAAAAUCCUGACCAGGUAGGCAGAGACUGUUUGACAGUCCUGGGGAAUAUGAAUGCAAGAGAACGAGAAGUGAAGCACACUGUUUGUUCAGCAAAACUGAAAAAACAUUUGGAAAUAGCAAAGUGGAAAAAAGGAAGGACUCAGUCGUAAAGAGAUACGGAUCCAGAGAACAGACUGGUGGUUUCCAGAGAUGAGAGGUUAGGGGAGAGUGGGCAAAAGGGGUUGAAGAGUUAGAAAUUUCCAGUUAUAAAACAAGUCCUGGGGAUAUGAUGCACAGCAUGGGGUCUACAGUUCAUAAUACUCUACUGUAUACUGGAAAAUUGCUAAGAGAGUAAAUCUUGAAAGUUCUCAUCAUAAACAAAAAAAAAAUUGUAACUGUGUGUGCUGAUGGAUGUCAGCUAUACUUAUUGUGGGGAUCAUUUUGCAGUGCAUGUAAACACUGAAUCACUAUGUUGUACACCUGACACACGAUGUUUUAUGCUAGUUAUAUCUUCAUUCAAAAAUAGUAAUGAGAGCACACCUUGCCCAUCGUCUGUUUACUUUAACCAGGCUUCUCAGUAGAAAUGCCCUCUACAUUAUGACCCAGCCCACAAUAAUGACGAAUCACCUACCUACCUACCUACUGAGACAAGAGUUUCAUAAAACAAUACUUUCCUUACCAUGUGCAAUGCACUCUGGUGUCUUCCAAUAUAUUCUUUUUCUUUUUAAAAAAUGCUGGUGAGGGGCACCUGGGUGGCUCAGUGGGCUAAGCA
This is a long non-coding RNA of Canis lupus familiaris (dog), 1407 nucleotides long. RefSeq lists it as uncharacterized. The transcript is spliced from 4 exons. The record is from RefSeq and is a predicted model, not a curated record. NCBI's taxonomy places the organism in Eukaryota, Metazoa, Chordata, Mammalia, Carnivora, Canidae.